AACGCUGGCGGCAUGCUUUACACAUGCAAGUCGAACGGUAACAGGUCUUCGGAUGCUGACGAGUGGCGAACGGGUGAGUAAUACAUCGGAACGUGCCUAGUAGUGGGGGAUAACUACUCGAAAGAGUAGCUAAUACCGCAUGAGAUCUACGGAUGAAAGCAGGGGACCUUCGGGCCUUGUGCUACUAGAGCGGCUGAUGGCAGAUUAGGUAGUUGGUGGGGUAAAGGCUUACCAAGCCUGCGAUCUGUAGCUGGUCUGAGAGGACGACCAGCCACACUGGGACUGAGACACGGCCCAGACUCCUACGGGAGGCAGCAGUGGGGAAUUUUGGACAAUGGGCGAAAGCCUGAUCCAGCAAUGCCGCGUGCAGGAUGAAGGCCCUCGGGUUGUAAACUGCUUUUGUACGGAACGAAAAGCCUGGGGCUAAUAUCCCCGGGUCAUGACGGUACCGUAAGAAUAAGCACCGGCUAACUACGUGCCAGCAGCCGCGGUAAUACGUAGGGUGCAAGCGUUAAUCGGAAUUACUGGGCGUAAAGCGUGCGCAGGCGGUUUUGUAAGACAGUGGUGAAAUCCCCGGGCUCAACCUGGGAACUGCCAUUGUGACUGCAAGGCUAGAGUGCGGCAGAGGGGGAUGGAAUUCCGCGUGUAGCAGUGAAAUGCGUAGAUAUGCGGAGGAACACCGAUGGCGAAGGCAAUCCCCUGGGCCUGCACUGACGCUCAUGCACGA
RNAcentral lists this ribosomal RNA (727 nucleotides) under uncultured beta proteobacterium. RNAcentral's name for it is "bacterial SSU rRNA". It matches the Rfam family "Bacterial small subunit ribosomal RNA", at positions 32 to 756 of the family's 1533-position model. The record is from RNAcentral. Lineage: Bacteria; Pseudomonadati; Pseudomonadota; Betaproteobacteria.